RNAcentral lists this ribosomal RNA (253 nucleotides) under uncultured bacterium. RNAcentral describes it as "partial 16S ribosomal RNA". It matches the Rfam family "Bacterial small subunit ribosomal RNA", at positions 524 to 776 of the family's 1533-position model. The record is from RNAcentral.
UACGGAGGGGGCUAGCGUUGUUCGGAAUUACUGGGCGUAAAGCGCGCGUAGGCGGCUUUGUAAGUUAGAGGUGAAAGCCCGGAGCUCAACUCCGGAACUGCCUUUAAGACUGCAUCGCUAAAACGUUGGAGAGGUGAGUGGAAUUCCGAGUGUAGAGGUGAAAUUCGUAGAUAUUCGGAAGAACACCAGUGGCGAAGGCGACUCACUGGACAACUGUUGACGCUGAGGUGCGAAAGCGUGGGGAGCAAACAGG